Molecule: ribosomal RNA, 481 nt
Filed under: uncultured bacterium
Lineage: Bacteria
Description: partial 16S ribosomal RNA
Rfam family: Bacterial small subunit ribosomal RNA
Source: RNAcentral
GAUGUACGCUGGCGGCGUGCUUAACACAUGCAAGUCGAACGAAGCACUUUAUUUGAUUUCCUUCGGGACUGAUUAUUUUGUGACUGAGUGGCGGACGGGUGAGUAACGCGUGGGUAACCUGCCUUGUACAGGGGGAUAACAGUUGGAAACGGCUGCUAAUACCGCAUAAGCGCACAGCAUCGCAUGAUGCAGUGUGAAAAACUCCGGUGGUAUAAGAUGGACCCGCGUUGGAUUAGCUAGUUGGUGAGGUAACGGCCCACCAAGGCGACGAUCCAUAGCCGACCUGAGAGGGUGACCGGCCACAUUGGGACUGAGACACGGCCCAAACUCCUACGGGAGGCAGCAGUGGGGAAUAUUGCACAAUGGGCGAAAGCCUGAUGCAGCGACGCCGCGUGAGCGAAGAAGUAUUUCGGUAUGUAAAGCUCUAUCAGCAGGGAAGAUAAUGACGGUACCUGACUAAGAAGCACCGGCUAAAUACGUG